GUAGGGGACGAGCGUUAUCCGGAUUUACUGGGCGUAAAGCGCCCGUAGGCGGCCAAGUAAGUUGGACGUGAAAGCUCCCGGCUUAACUGGGAGAGGCCGUUCAAAACUAUUUGGCUAGAGUGAGGCAGAGGAGCGCGGAAUUCCCGGUGUAGUGGUGGAAUGCGUAGAUAUCGGGAGGAACACCAGUGGCGAAAGCGGCGCUCUGGGCCUAAACUGACGCUGAGGGGCGAAAGCGUGGGGAGCGAACGGGAUUAGAUACCCCGGUAGUCCACGCCGUAAACGAUGGAGACUAGGUGUAGGCGGAUAGAACCCCGUCUGUGCCGAAGCCAACGCGUUAAGUCUCCCGCCUGGGGAGUACGGCCGCAAGGUUAAA
Molecule: ribosomal RNA, 373 nt
Filed under: uncultured bacterium
Lineage: Bacteria
Description: bacterial SSU rRNA
Rfam family: Bacterial small subunit ribosomal RNA
Source: RNAcentral